ACAGAGUCUUGGGGUGAAGCAUUCAGAGAGGAGUUUGAUUGGAGCAAACACAGGAUGGUGUCAUUUCUUAUUGGCUAAGCACGGACCCACCCACCUGUUUAGCCAUUGACCAAUGAACAGCCAGGUUUUUCCAGGAAGUGGCUUUUAAUUACCCAGGAAGUUAAACUCUGUCAUGGCGUCUUUGCCACGCCCCAAACAAUUUGAGUUAAAAUGCUUGUCUGUUCAUUCACACAGAUGUUAACAGUGAGCGAAGUGUGUUUUCCAGUGACUCGUGGCUUUUUUUAAAAUAAAUAAAAUAAUUCCUGCAUUCAAAGGGAGUAUUGCAAAUGGAAGCCACCACAUGUUCAUCAAAUGUGUGAUGAGGAGGCUGGUGACUGAUGAAGCCCCUUGAAGAAGCAAGUAGGUGUCAACAGGGGACUGUUCUGAACCUUCCACCAUGUCACGCUCGCUACCUUCAAGCAGCAAUGAAGCCUGGUGCUGUGACCGGACCACGUCUACUGGAUCCAUCCCGGCCAUUUAAAGGGAAAAGUCUUAAAGGAGUCUUCAGCUGUGGCAGUGGAGCGUCGGGCAGCGGGUUAAGGAACGAUGACUCGGCCGACGGCGAGGACGAAGAGAAGCACAGGUGCAGUUCGACGUCAGACAAGAAUGUACUUCAAACUCAACGAGGUCCAGCGUUUUCUACAUCGGCCACAUGGAUUCAGAACAAAGUCAAACUGCUGCAGCAACUAAUGGCACAUUUCACUGGUAAACAUCGGUUUAUGCUGCUGUAGUCGUUACCUUCUUUCAGAAUGAUUUCCCAUAAGUUUUUUACAGCUUAUUAUUAAAGUGGACUCCUUUUCAGAUUUGAGUGAUUGUGGUGUUUAUCAGGAUCUUGUGUCAUCUGUGCUGACCCUCCCUCUCAUUGUUGUGUUGAGAGCAUCCCUGUG
This 926-nucleotide long non-coding RNA is filed under the name Betta splendens (Siamese fighting fish). RNAcentral describes it as "lncRNA (ENSBSLG00000004056.1)". The record is from RNAcentral. Lineage: Eukaryota; Metazoa; Chordata; Actinopteri; Anabantiformes; Osphronemidae.